GCCAGCCCGCUCAAGAAACUACAAAGGAAGUUGACGGGGCCCGGCACAAGCGGCGGAGCAUGUGGAUUAAUUCGAUGCAACGCGAAGAACCUUACCUGGGCUUGACAUACACCGGAUCGGGCUAGAGAUAGUCUUUCCCUCGUGGCUGGUGUACAGGUGGUGCAUGGUUGUCGUCAGCUCGUGUCGUGAGAUGUUGGGUUAAGUCCCGCAACGAGCGCAACCCUUGUCUUAUGUUGCCAGCAGUUCGGCUGGGCACUCUAAAGGGACUGCCGGUGUUAAACCGGAGGAAGGUGGGGAUGACGUCAAGUCCUCAUGGCCUUUAUGACCAGGGCUACACACGUACUACAAUGGCCGAUACAAAGGGCAGCGACACUGCGAGGUGAAGCCAAUCCCGUAAAAUCGGUCUCAGUCCGGAUUGGAGUCUGCAACUCGACUCCAUGAAGUUGGAAUCGCUAGUAAUCGUGGAUCAGCAUGCCACGGUGAAUACGUUCCCGGGCCUU
This 500-nucleotide ribosomal RNA is filed under the name uncultured Desulfobulbus sp. Its description in RNAcentral is "bacterial SSU rRNA". It matches the Rfam family "Bacterial small subunit ribosomal RNA", at positions 903 to 1382 of the family's 1533-position model. Lineage: Bacteria; Pseudomonadati; Thermodesulfobacteriota; Desulfobulbia; Desulfobulbales; Desulfobulbaceae. The record is from RNAcentral.